RNAcentral lists this ribosomal RNA (301 nucleotides) under uncultured bacterium. RNAcentral's name for it is "partial 16S ribosomal RNA". It matches the Rfam family "Bacterial small subunit ribosomal RNA", at positions 509 to 807 of the family's 1533-position model. The record is from RNAcentral.
CAGUCGCCACGGGAAUACGAAGGGUGCAAGCGUUACUCGGAAUUACUGGGCGUAAAGCGUGCGUAGGUGGUGGUUUAAGUCCGUUGUGAAAGCCCUGGGCUCAACCUGGGAAUUGCAGUGGAUACUGGGUCACUAGAGUGUGGUAGAGGAUAGUGGAAUUUCCGGUGUAGCAGUAAAAUGCGUAGAGAUCGGAAGGAACAUCUGUGGCGAAGGCGACUAUCUGGGCCAACACUGACACUGAGGCACGAAAGCGUGGGGAGCAAACAGGAUUAGAUACCCCGGUAGUCCCUGUCUCUUAUAC